RNAcentral lists this transfer RNA (71 nucleotides) under Leptobrachium leishanense (Leishan spiny toad). Its description in RNAcentral is "tRNA-Ser". It matches the Rfam family "tRNA". From Rfam's summary of the family: Transfer RNA (tRNA) molecules are approximately 80 nucleotides in length. Their secondary structure includes four short double-helical elements and three loops (D, anti-codon, and T loops). Lineage: Eukaryota; Metazoa; Chordata; Amphibia; Anura; Megophryidae. The record is from RNAcentral.
GAGAAAGUGGCAGAUUGGUGAUGUGUAUGACUUGAAAUUAUAUUAAGGGGGUUCGAUUCCCCCCUUUCUUA